Molecule: long non-coding RNA, 870 nt
Organism: Olea europaea var. sylvestris
Lineage: Eukaryota; Viridiplantae; Streptophyta; Magnoliopsida; Lamiales; Oleaceae
Exons: 4
Source: RefSeq, a predicted model, not a curated record
UCACGCCCACAGUAAACUGCUCUUCUUCUUUACCAAUUGUACAUAUGAAAAGCAAAAUUUCUCAAAUCAAAACCAGAGAAUUCUUCAGUAACCACCCAUUGCAUCCUCGAAUCGUAUUUUAAACUCUAGUCCCUCUCAUUUCAAUCCCAAAAAUCAUCUAUUCCAACAGCAAUAUCGUCAUUGUGAUCUCAGUAGACCUUAGCCUAAUGGACAACGUUCAAAUCACAAAUCCAAGUUCGAAAUAAAGCAUUUCUACAACAUAGGAUUAAUCCAUUGUUUGAUACUGGAAAUGGAAGAUGACAUCACCAAUUUCAUCUGAAGACAACAUGGUGGAAAGAGGAAUAUGGAUGCCGUAGUUUUGGACUCGAGUUCGUGGAAGAAAAACUGGUCCAUCACAAUCAAGCAAAGGUUUGAGGAUUUUUGAUGCUCGAUUUGGGGAAUUUGGGCCUCUUAAGGAGAUUUGUCUCCUACGCAAUAUUACAUUGUAUAAAGCACGAGUCAGGGGAUGUUACGCUAACUAGAUAACAUGUAUUGUGUGAUACCUCGCUUGACAUAGUUGUUGCGUGCAUAAGAUGACAAUGGAGGGGGCUUAAAAGGCAAAUGAUACAAUCAAAGUAAGAGUACAAUUAAGAAACUAGAUGUGCAAGGUGCAAGGUGCAAGGAGUACAAAUAUAAUAGAAAUACAUGUAAGCACUCACUACCACUGAAUCAAAUACGAAAGAGGAAAAGAAGUUUGUAAAGUAUCAAACAUGUUGAUGAGACGUUACAGAUGCUGGACUAGAGAUGGUUGAAUUUCUAUUUUAGUUUCUAAGGAGCAAAUUUCAUACCGCCUAGUGUAUUCCAUAAUGAAUACUUAUUGUUAAUGGUUUU